Molecule: ribosomal RNA, 541 nt
Filed under: uncultured bacterium
Lineage: Bacteria
Description: bacterial SSU rRNA
Rfam family: Bacterial small subunit ribosomal RNA
Source: RNAcentral
CUGGCGGCAGGCCUAACACAUGCAAGUCGAACGGUAACAUUUCUAGCUUGCUAGAAGAUGACGAGUGGCGGACGGGUGAGUAAUGCUUGGGAACUUGCCUUUGCGAGGGGGAUAACAGUUGGAAACGACUGCUAAUACCGCAUAAUGUCUUCGGACCAAACGGGGCUUCGGCUCCGGCGCAAAGAGAGGCCCAAGUGAGAUUAGCUAGUUGGUAAGGUAACGGCUUACCAAGGCGACGAUCUCUAGCUGUUCUGAGAGGAAGAUCAGCCACACUGGGACUGAGACACGGCCCAGACUCCUACGGGAGGCAGCAGUGGGGAAUAUUGCACAAUGGGGGAAACCCUGAUGCAGCCAUGCCGCGUGUGUGAAGAAGGCCUUCGGGUUGUAAAGCACUUUCAGUUGUGAGGAAAAGUUAGUAGUUAAUACCUGCUAGCCGUGACGUUAACAACAGAAGAAGCACCGGCUAACUCCGUGCCAGCAGCCGCGGUAAUACGGAGGGUGCGAGCGUUAAUCGGAAUUACUGGGCGUAAAGCGCACGCAG